GACAGCAGUCGCCGCGGUAAUACAGAGGGUGCAAGCGUUAAUCGGAAUUACUGGGCGUAAAGCGCGCGUAGGUGGUUUGUUAAGUUGGAUGUGAAAGCCCCGGGCUCAACCUGGGAACUGCAUCCAAAACUGGCAAGCUAGAGUACGGUAGAGGGUGGUGGAAUUUCCUGUGUAGCGGUGAAAUGCGUAGAUAUAGGAAGGAACACCAGUGGCGAAGGCGACCACCUGGACUGAUACUGACACUGAGGUGCGAAAGCGUGGGGAGCAAACAGGAUUAGAUACCCCAGUAGUCCCUGUCUCUUAUAA
RNAcentral lists this ribosomal RNA (306 nucleotides) under uncultured bacterium. RNAcentral describes it as "partial 16S ribosomal RNA". It matches the Rfam family "Bacterial small subunit ribosomal RNA", at positions 507 to 809 of the family's 1533-position model. The record is from RNAcentral.